UCUCUCCUGGAGUGAACCACAUAAAUUAGAAUUCCUCUUCUGCAAGGCAGAUAAUAGAAACUAGCAGCCCUCUCCUGAAAGCAAGCCAUAAAACUUAGGAAGGUCACUCUCUCCCUUCUCAUUUGAAGACCGUUAUUCCAGAGGAAUCCUGCCCCAUACCUGCAAAGAAGAAAUGCUACACAGAGAGUCCAAGAAGAAUUUGAACACAUCCCUCCCCCUCACCCCCAGUCUAUUACCAUUAGAUCAUACUCUUAUCCAAACACAUCUCUACACAGCUGCUCAUUCUUCAUGGAGCCCAAGCACAAAAACAGUUUUCCCUGGAUCUUUGGGUUUUCAUUUCUGAAGGCUCUCAUAUCACAUAAAACUUUUAUUAAAUAAAUUUGUUAUGCUUUUCUCUUUAACUUGUGUUUUAUUAUAGGAGUGUCAGCCGUAACUCUUACAAUAAGUGAGGAAAGGUAUUACAGUUUUUUUUUUUUUUUUUUACCCUUAUACACUCUUGGAGCUGAUCAUCACAGUUUGUAAUUUUUCCACUUUCCAUUCCUGCUCCUGUGUAUUUUGAUAAAUUUUUACAGAUCAGUAGACUUCCCAUGGCAGAGUAUUUCCUGCUUCUCAACAGCCCUUAAACCAAUCCAAGGAAAACAAGAGUAUCAUAGUGCUUUGUCAUAUGACAAGAUUACAAAAGCAGUAUUCAGUGGCAGAAUGCCCGACUGCUCCUGGACACUGCCAAUAGCUGGCUUCAGUGCUCCCCAUCCCUGCUUGUCAGUGAUUAGUCUAAAUUGUUAUUACAAGCCCAGUCUGACCAAUGUGUGUGAACGAGGGGCCGGCUCCUGAUUCUGCAGAAAACAUGAAAUUGAAUUGGACAAAGAUGCUGAUGAGGUGCUGCAGCAUGCAAUUCACGUCACCAGCACUCACUAAGGAUCCUGUUCCAGCAAGGGAUUGGUGGCAUGACAUGUAAGGACAAGAUUCCACACAUCCAUCUUUAGCACACACAGGUCAAUGGUCCUCUGCCAAGGUCAGCAUACCGCUCCAUUUUAACCUUCCACUCAGAAUAUGUGUGGUGUUCCUUCCCAGGCACCAGAUUAAUUUACUCAGGCAAGGCGAGCUAGAUCUUCCUCUGAAACGUACACUUGUCCAUAUCGAUCCAAAGAAAUGAGUUUACCUUUGCAGUUGGUGUGAUUUGUGUUUUCCGCUAGAGGACUCUUAAAAAGCAACAGAGACUUCAGGGCUUCCUGUCUCUUCCUAUUCUUUACUUAAUAGGGAAGACUCUCUAACACGUUUGGACUGUGUCCAAGAUGGGGCAUAAAAUGGAAUCAGUGAAACUUAUUUCUCAUAAUAGAGGUCAGAAUAGAGAAAAUGUGACAAAAGCACAAAAUUUAACAAAGAAAGGGGCAGCAGCCCACCCACCAUCAAGGUGGAGGCAGAGUGUCUGUGUUCACGUAGGUCAAUGGUAGCAGGUGGGAGAUGGCAACUGUUAUCCGAAGACUUGGACUCUUAAAGUGGAGUCUGAAAGAUUUAAAGUACAGCAAAAUUCCAGAUGAACCAGAUCACUGCUUUAUGUUUUAUAUUUAUUUAUUAAUGUAUAAAUGAAAAUGUAUGACUUUUUCAGGAAUAUAAAUCGUGCACACUGAUGACCUCAAAUGCAUGCAACAGGAUUUUUAAUACAGAAAAUAACACAAAAACCAUUGUUACAGUUGUUAGAAUUUUUAACUUUAAAAAACCUUGAAUUUUUAUUGUUUUAAUUGCUCCAUAAAAUAAUGUUAAUAUAUAUACUUAAGCUUAAAUUAAUUCCAACAGGCAAACAUUUCCAACCCAGAGUGUGGCUGAUGGUUUCAUGCUGGGUCAGCUGACACCAUUUUGGUUCACACCAACUUUGAUGUCUAGGCCAUUCAGUGUUCACCUAGAAAAUCCCAAUUGUUUCAAGCAUACCGUGAAUUUUGUGAUUUCUCUGAAGAUUUUCAGAGUUAAAAGAAGUGUUUAUAUCACUUAAUAUACAACAUUUCUAAUGGGGGGGAACCCCACCAUCUAUUAUCAAUGGCAUUUCACAAGACCUUGCACUAGGCCCUUAGUCACCAGGUUCCCCCAUUUUGUUGCUUUCCUAUUAUCUCAAACCAGGUUCAUCAAAGCAUUUGAACAAAGUCAAUCUUCAUUUUACCAAAAAAAAAAAUGUUCCUAAUAGUGGCUAAAAUAGUAAAAAUUUCUCCCUUUAGUUA
Sapajus apella (tufted capuchin) is the source of this 2210-nucleotide long non-coding RNA. RefSeq lists it as uncharacterized. NCBI's taxonomy places the organism in Eukaryota, Metazoa, Chordata, Mammalia, Primates, Cebidae. The transcript is spliced from 2 exons. The record is from RefSeq and is a predicted model, not a curated record.